AGUGAACGCUGGCGGUAGGCCUAACACAUGCAAGUCGAACGGCAGCACAGUAAGAGCUUGCUCUUACGGGUGGCGAGUGGCGGACGGGUGAGGAAUACAUCGGAAUCUACUUUUUCGUGGGGGAUAACGUAGGGAAACUUACGCUAAUACCGCAUACGACCUACGGGUGAAAGCAGGGGAUCUUCGGACCUUGCGCGAUUGAAUGAGCCGAUGUCGGAUUAGCUAGUUGGCGGGGUAAAGGCCCACCAAGGCGACGAUCCAUAGCUGGUCUGAGAGCAUGAUCAGCUACACUGGAACUGAGACACGGUCCAGACUCCUACGGGAGGCAGCAGUGGGGAAUAUUGGACAAUGGUCGCAAGCCUGAUCCAGCCAUACCGCGUGGGUGAAGAAGGCCUUCGGGUUGUAAAGCCCUUUUGUUGGGAAAGAAAAGCAGCAUGUUAAUACCCCGCUGUUCUGACGGUACCCAAUGAAUAAGCACCGGCUAACUUCGUG
Molecule: ribosomal RNA, 492 nt
Filed under: uncultured bacterium
Lineage: Bacteria
Description: partial 16S ribosomal RNA
Rfam family: Bacterial small subunit ribosomal RNA
Source: RNAcentral